AACGAACGCUGGCGGCGUGGAUAAGACAUGCAAGUCGAACGGAAUAUACUGGUAGCAAUAUUGGUAUGUUCAGUGGCGAACGGGUGCGUAACACGUGGGUAACAUGCCGGGAAGUGGAGAAUAGCCCAGGGAAACUUGGAUUAAUGCUCCAUGUGGUCGCAAGACUAAAGACGGGGUAACCUGUCGCUUCCUGAUUGGCCCGCGGCCUAUCAGCUAGUUGGCGAGGUAACGGCUCACCAAGGCGACGACGGGUAGCUGGUCUGAGAGGAUGACCAGCCACACUGGAACUGAGACACGGUCCAGACACCUACGGGAGGCAG
This 320-nucleotide ribosomal RNA is filed under the name uncultured Verrucomicrobiota bacterium. RNAcentral's name for it is "bacterial SSU rRNA". It matches the Rfam family "Bacterial small subunit ribosomal RNA", at positions 29 to 351 of the family's 1533-position model. The record is from RNAcentral. Lineage: Bacteria; Pseudomonadati; Verrucomicrobiota.